UCUCCGUUGGUGAACCAGCGGAGGGAUCAUUACGGAGUUUUUAAACUCCCAAACCCCUGUGAACUUAUACCUUAACUGUUGCUUCGGCGGGUUAACGCCCCGGAAGGCCCAAAAAGCCGCCGGAACCAGGCACCCGCCGGGGGAACCAAACUCUUGUAUUUCUUACUUUGCAUGUCUGUGUGGAAUCAUAAACAAAUGAAUCAAAACUUUCAACAACGGAUCUCUUGGUUCUG
RNAcentral lists this unclassified non-coding RNA (233 nucleotides) under plant metagenome. RNAcentral's name for it is "partial contains small subunit ribosomal RNA, internal transcribed spacer 1, and 5.8S ribosomal RNA". The record is from RNAcentral.